Long non-coding RNA from Perognathus longimembris pacificus (Pacific pocket mouse), 7265 nucleotides. RefSeq lists it as uncharacterized. NCBI's taxonomy places the organism in Eukaryota, Metazoa, Chordata, Mammalia, Rodentia, Heteromyidae. The transcript is spliced from 2 exons. The record is from RefSeq and is a predicted model, not a curated record.
UAUAAAAUGACUGUUGAGAAAGUAGUUAAAAGGAAUCACAUAAUUUAGCAAAGGAGAAAGAGUGAAGAACUUGAAAUAGCCAAUGAUUAAAUUUAGGUCCCUGUUAUUGGAAUUAAUCUUGUACUAAUCUGUGUACUCACUUUGUAACAAAAUCACAUUAAGGCUCCAUAAAUACUACCUGUGGUAUGUAUAUCUGGGUAUUACAAAAUAAUUUUCAAACAUUCAUAAUCCUGCUCCUUUUACAGGACACGAAAGCAAACCUCAGUCCUGUUUCAAUAUGAAAAUUUCUAAAGUCAUAAACGUUUGCCUAGCUGGGGAAUUGAGAACCAACAGAAAUACUGUCUCCUUUCCAUAGCAUUUUAAAAUAGAGCAAAGCUUCAUAACUAUCCAAAAUGAUUCAUUGAUUCACAGUCACUUUGAUCCAUAGCUUUUGAGCUGAACAAGUCAAAUAACUUUAGUUCCUCAAAGUCAAGUCUUUGUCAUGUCUGACUUUGCCAAGGCCCCAAUACAUUUCAAGAUUCAUCAGCUAACUCUAAGGACAUGGUUCCAAAUCAAUGCCAAGGACUCUCCAUUGCAUGACUGGCUCCUCGGACUGAACUUGCUUACUAACUAACGUGCCUAUAGUAAGGGAAGGCAGGACUCAGCUCUUUUUUCAGUUUGUGUACCUAGUUCUUGGAAUUGGGAAUAUCACAUGAGUAGCAAGAAAAAAAAUAAAUUCCUUACUUCCUGAACUACUUGGAAGAAAGAAAACAUAAUUUUGUCAACUGAAAGCCCAAGGAGGUGGGCAUAUAUACUAAAAGGAAGCCAAAGAGGAGUAAAGAUUUAAAUCCUCUAGUUAAAACAUUAUAAAAAAAAAAUCUCUUUCGUGCAUAGACAGAACUACUUGGGAGGGUAUAAAUGUGUGAGGUGAGAGGAAAUCAUGGAAUAGUCUCAUCAGAACCACAUAUCCUUUGCCUUAACAAAAUUUUUUCCAUCAAUAUAAACAGAAGUGAGCUGAAGAAAGGCUUUCACUAUUCAUAGCAGAAACAGACUUACACCUGGAAUGCUGGAUUCCUAGAGGACCAUUGUCUCAUUGCCUCAUGGCUCCUCAAUGAUGAUUUAAUGUGAGCAAACAUCCAGUUAUUUUAAGAAGGUUGGAGCUGGAUUCCACAUGUAAUGAGACUAAUAAGUUGUAUUUAGUCACACUUACAUUAUUUCCAGUAACAUGCAAGCAGUGUCUGGGAAAAAGGAAGGUGAGUCAUAUUGGACUUGCCCAAGCACUAUGGAACUGGCCUAAAGAUACCAGUAGGGAAACACAAAGACAGUGAUAGAAAGUCAUUCCAUUGAUUCUCAUUGGUGAUUUAAAUCUCUGUGUGAGGUACAUACCUAGUUAAUAGUGCUAAUCUCUAUUCCACCAUACACUUCUAAAUAACUCAUUUCUGUCUUCUUUAACCUUCCUCACCAGGUAACCUAGUCUUGUAAUCACUUUUGAAUUCUCAGUGUUACGUUCAUUUAAGGAAUGAAAAGUGAGUAGAGUACUUUUAAGGUAGUUCUCAUAUGAAACGUUUUGAAAACUGCAAUCUAACGUAUAAAAACAAGAUGUCUUUUUUAGCUGAUAAAAAUUAUUGCAGAAAGCUAGCCAAAAUGAAUUGCUUUGGCUAUAAUUCUUCAAACAAUACUAAGUUUCUUUAUUUGGUUAGUUAAAUUUGCAAGCUACCUAAAAUUUCCCACAUUAUUAUCUCAAGAAGACAAAUUGAUAGCUUUUUUAUUUAGACAACUCUCAAUAUCAAUGCAAAUCCUAUGGAGGAAAAGCAAUUUCUAUUUCAGAGCAAUUUCUAUUCAGGAUAUUCAACAGUGUACUUAACAGGGGAAGAGAAUAGAUGCUGUGUGCUGGUAUCUUAUAACCUUUGGUCAAGCAGUACUGGGAAAUUUCAACAGACUUACUUAACCAGAGAUAAAACUAAGCAGCAAAAUGUCCUGCAAAUAAAAACGAAAGAAUUAAAACAGAAUGAGGAGUUAUCCGCAACAAACAAUACUAUAUACCUAACAUCCUAGAUCAAGCAGAAGGGAUUUGUUAGGAGACCAGAGUCGGCCCCUGCUUUGUGGGUGCUGUAAAUGAACACUUAGAAGUUUCUUUAGGUAAAGAUAUAGGCACAGUUCUCAGAAAGCCAGCCAAAAUAGCUAAGGGAAAGGAGGAAGGCCACAUGUGGAACUAAUUACUCAUGCAGAGGCCAUGACAAAGAACAUUUCUCCAGACUUUUCAUGGAGGCUUCACUUUCAGGAAGUUGCUAUAAUUACUGCUCAAGUCUAGAGUAGCCUGCAAGCCGCUGAAAGAUCCAGCAAAGGAGGAGGAGGGCAAGAGAGAAAAGGGGGGGGGGGCUGAGGAGAGGAAAUAAAAACAGCUUAUCUGCUUUUUGACUAGUGAAAUACCAGAAAAUAAAGUACCACAGGAAAGCUUUGGGAUGAAAAAAAAAAGGGGGGUAUCCAAAUGCACUCAGCCUUCCAGGGUUGUACUUUUUGUUCACUGUUUUAUCUACUCUCUAUCUUCAAAUGACUUCUCUAGCCUGGAUGGGACAGCAAAUUUGUACUUGUCUUAACUCACUUUCGGUUGGCCACAGCAGAACUGUACAUCUUGACUUUUUUUUUUUUUUUUUUUUUACAGCUUUUCCAUACUGGGGCCCACUUCCUGCCCAGUUGAGGAAAAAAAUCUGGCCUGAAGAUGAAAUGACUGCUUAACAUUACACGAAAACAUCUGGUACCAUUUUAUGCACAGACCCAUGUCUGAGAGCAGGCGAUUCCAGCGGUCUCUCCAGCGGCACAGCGCAUACCCCGACCUCCCCAGGGUGACAUCAUCCCAUAUAUGGACUCUCCAGCCCAGCCCUCCCCCUUUUCCUGGUCCUAAAUUCAUUGCCAGAUCCCUAGUCUGCAGCAAAUGUGCCACGUCAAGACGGGAAAUCACAGCCUUGAGUGUGUGGCUCAGUCGGUGCAGAAGAAUUCAGGGGGGAAGCCGGUUCAACCUGGAUGCAGAGGAAGGCAGGCUCUUCCCCAGGACCAGGAGAGGAGUUUCAGGACUUCGAUGGAAGCUUCUGGAGAUCCUGCUCCGUCGCCCCAGUGUUCAGACUACCUGUUCAGGACAAUGCCGUUGUACAGUAGUCUGCACAUUGGUUAGACUGGGCAUGGGAUAGCAACGCCAUGGACUGCUGGGGACAAGAUUUGCUGUUUCCUGGGAGAAUAUAUUUGUUUGCUCCUUUGUUGAAUCUCAUAUCCAGUGUUUUUCUUCACAGGUUUUGCCCACUAGGGACCAAGAAACUCUCGAGGUCACCGCUGAGAAAGGACGGCUCAAGGGAAGACGGGCGGGGAUGAGUUUUACUCAGGAGAUGAACAGUACAUAAAAGUGUCAUUGGCGUGAGUCCAGGAGUAGAAAUACAAAAAUAUACCCCACCAAGAGGUAACCAAGAAUUCGUUAUAACAUGUUCCAUGGAGAUCUAAAAACCCAUCUUCGAGACAAACUUUAAACACAGAGACAGGAAGUAUUCUUAACUUUAAGGUACAGGAACGAAAUUAAAAAUCAGAGUUAAAGGAUUUAUGAACCUCUGCUGAAUGAAAGUGCAAUAGUAGUCUCUGUGCUGGGUACACACAAGGAUACAUAAAUAAUUAUAAAAAUGCAAUGUCUACAUCUGGGGUAAUUAGAAUAAUGCUUAAUUUUAUUUUGUUAUUACUUGAUAAGGUGACACACAAAUAUUUUAGGAAUCAUGGAAUUAAUUCCAGAAGAAAGUAGCCCAAGUGAAGAUCUUCAACUAAAAUUGCCUCUGGGUAUAAUGAUAGGUGUAAGUAUUAAAAUUAAAACACUGUUAUGGGGUCAUAAAGAGAAAGCUGUUUGCUGUUUGUAUCCAAAUUGCAUUUCAUGGAGAUUUCAUACUUAUUUUUCUUGUGGAUGAUGGGUAAAUUAGACUAGGCACUGGGUUAAAAGCAUGUUUUCAGCCGUCUAAGAGAAAGAAAAUUCAGAGCCUUCGCUUUCAACACCAUCAUUCUGUAACUGGAAGAAGAUGAAUACAAAACAGCCCAUUUAAAUUAAACAAAUCUAUUGUUUUUAAGCCAUAGAACUGAAACUCAAAGAAAGUUUGUUUAUGAUGGGACUAAGUUUCACACUGAUAGAUUUCCUAUAAUGAGUCAAUAAUUUUACAACUAUCUUUCCUAAGCUUUUGGCCCAGAUAAUAUGUUUAUGUUUUUCAAAAACCAAAAUAUACUAUCUUCCACCUCCCCCUCACCUCUAGCCUACAGACCACCCAAGUGUUUCUCUUUGUGGGAAAGUGUUUAGGCAUAAAAAUCCUAAUUGGAAAAAAAAAAACCAACUUCUCUCUUUCCUUCUUUUUUUUUCUUUUGUGGAAGCCUUAAGUUGUUGUAGAACCUAAAAAGAAAGUAUUUGGUAAAGUUUAAUAAGUCCCCCGUCCAUAAAUAUCCAUCUCCAUCGAAGCUAAAACUCUUAUCUAGAAAGGAUUUGCUCUUUAAAAUAAAUUUUACACUGUUCUAAGGGGAAUAGCCCAAACAACCCAAUAAUAACCAUGGGUCUAUCUAUAACCUAGAAAUCCCAGCUUAAAAUAACUAGGUCAGGCUCUAACCUGAGACAGGAAAUUCCUAAGACUGAAACUUUCUUCCUUUAAAUCUCUUUUUGCUUUCUUAUCCUGAAAGUUAUAUAGAUAUAAACAACUCAUCUUAUUAACAGUUUUUAAAUCAUUUUUAAUAAACAGGGAUAAUGAAGUAAAUGAAGGGAGACUAUUAAAUCUUCAUUUUGAAUUUUCUGAAUUACUGUCAUACUCAGUUUUUGGAGUUGGCUAAGUUCAAUUUACAAGAGAUUUAGAGGAUAAUUCUUUUCUUGCAUUUCAUUUUGAAGGAAUAAAAGAUAAAAAUGAAAAAAGGUAUGUGGAUGUUAAAAUAUAGUAUUAUAAAAAUGCAAUAGCUCUUUCAUAUGUACUUUGACUCAAGUUUUAAAUGAUAAUAAAAUAUUAUUCACCUUAUAGUUUGAGAGAUAAGAAAACUAAUCUCGAUUUAUAUCCUUAGUCUCUUCUUAUUUCUUAACAAGAAAAAGACCAAUUCAACAUAACUAUUUAUUGUAACUAUAUUUUUAAAAUAAGAAUUAUAAACUGUCCAAAAUUUUAAGAGUUGAAUAUGCUUCCCUCCGCCCCCAUUUUUCAGCAAGACUUUUUCUCCACUAAAAAAAAAAAAAAAAAAAAAAAAGCUUAGUGUUUUUCAGGCUCAAAAUAUUUUGGAUACUUUGUUUUAUAUUAAAGGGCAAUAUAUGAACUCACAAACAUUUCUUUUUAUUUUUUCAGGUUGCAUGCAUCAUUCCUUUAAUUGAACAGAGUAAUAAACUGGAUCAAAUUAUUUAUGGGGAGAGGGAAAACUAUACAAGCUAUAUAGUACUUGUUCAUUUCUAAUAGUGUAUCCAUGUGAGUCAUUCCAUAAUAUUUUCUGCUGGAAUGAGUGUAGUACCAACAAUGUAGUACUUCAAGUAUUUUAUACCCUCUAUCCUUGUAAUUAUUUAAUUAGUAGCCAAGUUUAUUGAAGGUUUUGAUUCUCCUGAGGGGAAAAAGGUCUUUUACUCUGAAGUGAUGUUCAGAACAGAUUAUUUAUUAUCUUGUAAUUAAAUAAACCCAGAAAAUUGCAUGGAUCAAUUCUUUGUUUAAAUUUUUUACACAAUAACUUCAUAAGACUUCAUAUGUGUAGUCCAAUGCUAUUUUCCCUGUCUCUAAGCCUAUUAUUCUCCUUAUGAAAUUUUUAUUUGCUAUUUUUCUUCAAAUUUCACAAUUAAAGGUAAAUAACAAAGGACUUAUUUUAUUUAAAGUUCCUUUAAAAUACUCCUAAAUAUUUUCAUUGGAUAAUAUUGUGUAUUUUGGUAGAUUUUAAAGAAAUCCCACUUCUUAGAAUUGCAAUUCUGGAUAGUCUGGAUUUUAAAAGGGAAUGGAAACUAUUAAAUACCUCUACAGUGUGAACUGCUCCUUGAUAUUAAAAGAGCCAAAAAGUCUUAACUCACCAGGGUUAUAUUUUAUAUCUAUAUAUUCUAGCCUCUAUAAGUCAUAAGGUUUUGAAUUUGGGAGUGUGAAAUGAACUUUCAUUCCCUGUGUAUAGAGGACUACUUUGUAACUAUAUUUCACUAACAAUGUCCAAAAUAUAGCCUGACCAUCACCAUAGAUAAGAGCUUCUUGGAUUCUACCUUAGAUUGAUGGCAUGGCCCUCUAGUUAAUUAAGAGAGACAUAAAGCUCAGUGCCUUUUAUUUGAUUCUCAUAUCCAUACUUAGAAACUUUUCAUUUCAAAAGAAGAUGAAAAUUUUAAAUAAAUUCCUGUUGUUCAAAAAUGUAUUGGCUAAAAAAACAAAUACAUUUCCUUGCAAAAAUUCCAUUAUCAAAGCAUCAAAUACCAAAGUCCACUUAUAGUGUUACCAAAUACAUUAAACUCAUGAAUUAGUUUAAAAAUGGCUGUUGUUAACAUGUAAAUGAUAUUAUCUUCCUCUAUGGGCAUGCUGAGGGUACUUACUGACUACAAGAAAACAUGCAAAACUAUCAUCUUUAUCUUGAAUGCCAGUAUUAAAAUAUGCAUAGUUUGGGGGAAGAGGAAAGCUAUCUGGUUUAAUUAGUCUGAACUCUGACUGUAUGUGGGCUAGUAAUAACAGGAACUGGAAUUAAAAAUAAACCUUGUGUUUAAACUUUUUUCCCUUAAAAUCUUAAUGUGAGUAUUCUCUUUUGUCAGUUUUCCAUGUUAGCACAUUUGGAACAAAUGUAUAAGUGUACUUUUUGAAUAAAGUCAAAAGUCUAACUUGUUUUUAGUUCUAUAAUGUUUGAAUGUUUAAAUCUAUUGUGUGUUUUUCUCCCUUUCCUCUUCCCCUCCCAAAUCACCAAAUCUGGAAAACAGGCUGAUUGUGUCUGUCCAUGAGCAAAGGAAACCUGAAGGACCCAAGGGCCUGGCUGGACAGAGUUGUCAUGUGUCUGCCUGUCUACACUUGCUGUGCAGAACAUCCGCUCACCUGUACAGCAGGCACAGACAGGCAGUCACAUGACAACCCAGCCUGAGUGACAACCAGCCAAUGAGAGAAAGCAGCCCUCACACCAUAGCAUCUACACCAAGAGCUACAACCAAAAUGAAGGGCUUGGGGCCUGGUGUUUUCAACUGUUUGCUUAUCAAUACUAAUUCAUAUGUAUCAUUAUUUUAUUUUGAUUCAAACUAUUAAAACCCAUCCAAAGUAAAGUGAGUGGUGCCUAUGAAAUAUAAUAAAACCCAUUUCUCAAAAUGU